CACUCAAGGACAUUCUCAGAGUUGUCCCUCAUCCACUCCUGUAUUGUCUAGGCUGUGUGCUUAAGGUGAACCUUUUCCAGUCUUCUUCUCAUAGUGCAUCUUGGUGCCAUCUCUUUCCCAGCUAUUGAAUCCAACAUCUGCCCUUGUCCGCUGCUGUAAUAAACGUCUGAAGUCCCAAGCUGUUCGUUCUCCCAGGCUGUUGAAAUUGGAUAUACCACGCCCCUUUUUAGAGACACGCCCUUUUCCCAGAAUUUUCUCCUUUUCAAAGCUUUUUAGACCAAUGAAACAGUGAACCCAGCCCGUCGCUGUCAAAAAUACAACUUAUGAUGUCACUUAAACACUUGCAAACAGUCUCUUAAUUGCAUACCAGGUCUGAAUGCCGUCCAUAGUGUACACCAGGAUGGCCAUUGCUGGUUUGUUUGACAUCACUCUGCGCUCUAUUCUUCUGCUAUUCACAUGCAGCCUUCAUUAAACUCUUUUUUUCCCCCUUGAACUUUUAAGCCUCAGGUCCAGACUCGAAUAAGCUAUUCCUAAUUAUGGCGAGAAGAAAAAAAAUCCUGAAGAGUUCUUCUCCAUUCAUUUUCAGCGCUCGCAGAGAGUCCGGCCCCAGCUACUCAAGGAAUUUUCAUUAAACCAAUUAUCUUGAUUGGAUUGUAUCCUCCAUUGCUUACUUUAAUUGGGCCCCACUCCUAAUGAAUGGUAUGAUCCACUGCCAGAAAGGAGUAGACUUGUGUCACUAAAUGUGACACCACCGCUAAAGUAUGCCCAAAUUCUCAGCCUAA
This is a long non-coding RNA of Hyla sarda, 782 nucleotides long. RefSeq lists it as uncharacterized. The record is from RefSeq and is a predicted model, not a curated record. The transcript is spliced from 4 exons. Lineage: Eukaryota; Metazoa; Chordata; Amphibia; Anura; Hylidae.